Molecule: transfer RNA, 86 nt
Filed under: Gammaproteobacteria bacterium
Lineage: Bacteria; Pseudomonadati; Pseudomonadota; Gammaproteobacteria
Also listed under: 1 other name
Description: tRNA-Leu
Rfam family: tRNA
About the family: Transfer RNA (tRNA) molecules are approximately 80 nucleotides in length. Their secondary structure includes four short double-helical elements and three loops (D, anti-codon, and T loops). Further hydrogen bonds mediate the characteristic L-shaped molecular structure. tRNAs have two regions of fundamental functional importance: the anti-codon, which is responsible for specific mRNA codon recognition, and the 3' end, to which the tRNAs corresponding amino acid is attached (by aminoacyl-tRNA synthetases). tRNAs cope with the degeneracy of the genetic code in two manners: having more than one tRNA (with a specific anti-codon) for a particular amino acid; and 'wobble' base-pairing, i.e. permitting non-standard base-pairing at the 3rd anti-codon position.
Source: RNAcentral
GCCGGGGUGGCGGAAUGGUAGACGCAGUGGACUCAAAAUCCACCGGUAGCGAUACCGUGAGAGUUCGAGUCUCUCUCCCGGCACCA